GUGUCAGCAGCCGCGGUAAUACGGAGGAUGCAAGCGUUAUCCGGAAUCAUUGGGCGUAAAGAGUCCGUAGGUGGCACUUCAAGUCUGCUUUCAAAGACCGAAGCUCAACUUCGGAAAGGGAGUGGAAACUGAAGAGCUAGAGUAUAGUAGGGGUAGAGGGAAUUCCUAGUGUAGCGGUGAAAUGCGUAGAGAUUAGGAAGAACACCAGUGGCGAAGGCGCUCUACUGGGCAUAUACUGACACUGAGGGACGAAAGCUAGGGGAGCGAAAGGGAUUAGAUACCCCUGUAGUCCUAGCGGUAAACGAUGGAUACUAGGCGUAGUGCUGUUAGAAGGACUGUGCCGAAGCUAACGCGUUAAGUCGACCGCCUGGGGAGUACGGCCGCAAGGUUGAAACUCAAAUGAAUUGACGGGG
Molecule: ribosomal RNA, 413 nt
Filed under: uncultured prokaryote
Description: bacterial SSU rRNA
Rfam family: Bacterial small subunit ribosomal RNA
Source: RNAcentral